GAUGAACGCUAGCGGCAGGCCUAAUACAUGCAAGUCGAACGGUAAGAUCUCGCUUGCGAGAUACACGAGUGGCGCACGGGUGAGUAACGCGUAUGCAACCUACCUUCAACUGGAGAAUAGCCCCGAGAAAUCGGGAUUAAUACUCCAUAACAUCCAGCUUUCGCAUGUUAGCUGGAUUAAAGUCCCGACGGUUGAAGAUGGGCAUGCGUGACAUUAGUUUGUUGGUGAGGUAACGGCUCACCAAGACUACGAUGUCUAGGGGUUCUGAGAGGAUUUUCCCCACACUGGUACUGAGACACGGACCAGACUCCUACGGGAGGCAGCAGUAAGGAAUAUUGGUCAAUGGACGAAAGUCUGAACCAGCCAUGCCGCGUGCAGGAUGACAGCCCUAUGGGUUGUAAACUGCUUUUAUACGGGAAGAACCCCCUGUACGUGUACAGGGUUGACGGUACCGUACGAAUAAGGAUCGGCUAACUCCGUG
RNAcentral lists this ribosomal RNA (481 nucleotides) under uncultured bacterium. Its description in RNAcentral is "bacterial SSU rRNA". It matches the Rfam family "Bacterial small subunit ribosomal RNA", at positions 28 to 507 of the family's 1533-position model. The record is from RNAcentral.